RNAcentral lists this ribosomal RNA (460 nucleotides) under uncultured bacterium. RNAcentral's name for it is "partial 16S ribosomal RNA". It matches the Rfam family "Bacterial small subunit ribosomal RNA", at positions 338 to 795 of the family's 1533-position model. The record is from RNAcentral.
CCUACGGGCGGCUGCAGUGAGGAAUAUUGGUCAAUGGACGAGAGUCUGAACCAGCCAAGUAGCGUGAAGGAUGACUGCCCUAUGGGUUGUAAACUUCUUUUAUAUGGGAAUAAAAUGUUCCACGUGUGGGAUUUUGUAUGUACCAUAUGAAUAAGGAUCGGCUAACUCCGUGCCAGCAGCCGCGGUAAUACGGAGGAUCCGAGCGUUAUCCGGAUUUAUUGGGUUUAAAGGGAGCGUAGGUGGAUUGUUAAGUCAGUUGUGAAAGUUUGCGGCUCAACCGUAAAAUUGCAGUUGAAACUGGCAGUCUUGAGUACAGUAGAGGUGGGCGGAAUUCGGGGUGUAGCGGUGAAAUGCUUAGAUAUCACGAAGAACUCCGAUUGCGAAGGCAGUUCACUGGACUGCAACUGACACUGAGGCUCGAAAGUGUGGGUAUCAAACAGGAUUAGAUACCCUUGUAGUC